RNAcentral lists this transfer RNA (57 nucleotides) under Ictidomys tridecemlineatus (thirteen-lined ground squirrel). RNAcentral's name for it is "Spermophilus tridecemlineatus (thirteen-lined ground squirrel) tRNA". It matches the Rfam family "tRNA", at positions 8 to 63 of the family's 71-position model. From Rfam's summary of the family: Transfer RNA (tRNA) molecules are approximately 80 nucleotides in length. Their secondary structure includes four short double-helical elements and three loops (D, anti-codon, and T loops). The record is from Rfam by way of RNAcentral. Lineage: Eukaryota; Metazoa; Chordata; Mammalia; Rodentia; Sciuridae.
UAGCUCAGUGGUAGAGCCCUUGCCUAGCAUGCAGGGGGCCCUGGGUUCAAUCCCCAG